This is a transfer RNA of 74 nucleotides. It matches the Rfam family "tRNA". Rfam says of the family: Transfer RNA (tRNA) molecules are approximately 80 nucleotides in length. Their secondary structure includes four short double-helical elements and three loops (D, anti-codon, and T loops).
CGGGGCGUAGUAUACCGGUAGUACGCUUGGUUUGGGACCAAGUAGACCGAGUUCGAUUCUCGGCGCCCCGACAA